Molecule: ribosomal RNA, 305 nt
Filed under: uncultured bacterium
Lineage: Bacteria
Description: bacterial SSU rRNA
Rfam family: Bacterial small subunit ribosomal RNA
Source: RNAcentral
CCUACGGGGCGCAGCAGUGAGGAAUAUUGGUCAAUGGGCGGGAGCCUGAACCAGCCAAGCCGCGUGCAGGAAGAAGGCGCUAGGCGUCGUAAACUUCUUUUGUCGGGGAACAAAGGGCGCCACGCGUGGCGGUGUGAGAGUACCGGAAGAAAAAGCAUCGGCUAACUCCGUGCCAGCAGCCGCGGUAAUACGGAGGAUGCGAGCGUUAUCCGGAUUUAUUGGGUUUAAAGGGUGCGUAGGCGGUCCGGAAAGUCAGCGGUAAAAGCCCGGGGCUCAACCCCGGCGAGGCGUUGGAAAGUGCGGAG